This 490-nucleotide long non-coding RNA is filed under the name Macaca fascicularis (crab-eating macaque). RNAcentral's name for it is "lncRNA (ENSMFAG00000055449.1)". Lineage: Eukaryota; Metazoa; Chordata; Mammalia; Primates; Cercopithecidae. The record is from RNAcentral.
GACUGAGGAGAGCCAGCUGCCGGGGGCCGAGGCCUUGGUCAGCUCAGCAAGCUGGUCCCAUGGGGACUCUGAGAGGACGGGCUGCUCCCUAAGGAAACUCGAGUUUUGGGUCAGUCUGAUCCUACUAGACGUCAUACGAGACACCAUGCAAGUGACCUCUGCUCUGACUUCUGCCUGAGCACUUGGCUCACCAUUCUCUCCUCACUUUUCCCCACCACCCUACUGGAAGAAAGAGAGAACAGCCAGCCUCCAGGGCCCUUCCUUUCCCUGGCCACCUUCCUUCAGACACAGCAUGCUUGGAUUCAGAAAUCUAAAACUUUCCUGGAAAUGGAGAGUCCUGACAUGAUGGCCCCAUGAUGAAAAUAACCCAGAUUCCUGAGUCACCAUGUGGACACGAGGCACCAAGGAGAAAACGUGUGAACCUCAGUAAGUUUGGGGUGAGAGGUAAAUAAACUUUAAAUAUGUUAAGCUUCUGUCAUUUCAAGGUAAU